Long non-coding RNA from Nomascus leucogenys (northern white-cheeked gibbon), 559 nucleotides. RefSeq lists it as uncharacterized. The transcript has 2 exons. The record is from RefSeq and is a predicted model, not a curated record. NCBI's taxonomy places the organism in Eukaryota, Metazoa, Chordata, Mammalia, Primates, Hylobatidae.
CACUUGCUAAAACGAAUAGAAAAAAGUGAGGACCACCAUCAGUCCUAACAUUGAGAAUUCAUAUUUUAGUUGGAAAGAAAUGCACACAGUUUGGAAUCCUAUGUAGUCAAGAUAAGAGAACAAUUUUCUGAAUGCUUUCCAUGGGCCAGCGUGGAAACUUAACUCUCUCACGUAGACAGCAAGAUUACACUCUGACACCAAGCCCUGCCCUUGUGGGAAGUAUGAUAAGCCUCAAGGCAAACAAUUCUUCCUUCACAAUUGCAGUCUGGGCACCUGAUGACAUAGAAUGACUCAUUGGACUCCUGCCUCUUCUACUUCAUUCUUACCGUGAGCUCCCCUAGAAGAUGUAGUAUUCCGCCAUUACCAAAAUCUGCAACCAGAAGGAUCAAGCUCUAGGAAGCAGCACACACUAUACUCCUGUGUGGAAACAAAGUAAUCCUCAUCAGAUCAUCUAACUUGCUGUUGCUGUAAGGACUGCGAAUUGGUAGCAAUAAAUAAGGCAUGGGAAAUAGGAGGGAAAACACCAUCAAUGACAAUAAAAACUGAAUGUGAAAUUUGA